Molecule: long non-coding RNA, 377 nt
Organism: Gekko japonicus
Lineage: Eukaryota; Metazoa; Chordata; Lepidosauria; Squamata; Gekkonidae
Exons: 3
Source: RefSeq, a predicted model, not a curated record
GUGGAGGCCUGGGGCAGGGGCUGCUAGAAGCGGCGGCGAUGGCGGUUGAGGGGGAGGCAUGAGCAGUGUUAAAUAUUUUCAAAGAUGAAAAGGAAAGUGGCUAAAGGUGGAAGGUUAAGACUGAGUCCCAAUGAAGAAGCUUUGCUGUUGAAAGAAGAAUAUGAAAGAAGAAGAAAAUUAAGGCUGCAGCAGGUUAGAGAGCAGGAGAGAAAUAUUGCUUUGCAAAUAAGGCAAGAUGUUAAGCAACGAAGAGAUGAGCAGCUGCAUCAGUUGGCAGAAGAACUGAAGGCAGAGUGGCAGAAAGCACAAGAGGAGAAAAUUAAAGCCUUGGAAAAGCUUUAUCUGGCAAGCCUGAGAGCUAUAGGAGAGGGGCACAG